AUAUGGAAGACAUUCACGUAACUUGUGUUUAUUAUCACAUACAAUUUUAAAUUAGAUUAGUGAUGUGGUUCCAUGAAAUAAAUAAAUGAAUUAAUGGUGUAGAAACUGAAAUGAAUUUAGUGUAUAAUGAAAAAUAAAAGGAUGGUUCCAUUUCAUAUAAGAAAUAAUAUAUGACUCUAACCCAACACACAACUCUUAAAUGUUAAACUCAUACAUAACUUUUGAAUACUAAACCCUAAACUGUUAUUACAAAACCCUAACCUCAAUCCCCACCUUCCAAAUACUAAAUCCUAAAUGCUAAUCACUAAACCCUAAAUCUUAAUCACUAAACCCUAAACCCAAGUAUAGACCUUAAACCCAGAUAGAAUGGAACAAAAAAUAUAAUAUGGUUUACUAAACCCAAACCUCUACUUACCAAAUCUAAACCCUAUGCAUGAACCUAUAAACCCAAAUACAAUCUAUAAAUUAUUUUUCAAUAUUAGACACUUGAACGCACAUUUACUUAGUUAGCAUAUUACAUAUCUUCUAUUCCAUAUAGUCUAAGUAAUAUAGUACACGAAUGUUUAAAAUAAUCAAAAAUUUUCAACGGUGUAUCCAUAGUAUGAAAUGCAAAUAGUAAAUCCUCUUCACCCGCAAAAAUACAACAAUACAAGACACACCACUAAUUAUUAAAGCUAAAUCCUAAUUAAGAAAACAUAAACUCAAAUAGUAUAUAUAUAUAAUAUGGUUUACUAUAUCCAAACAUCUACUUAGUAAAUCUAAACCCUAGGCAGAAACCUAUAAACCCAAAUACAAUCUAUAAAUUUUUUUCUAAUAUUGGACACUUGAAGGCACAUUUUGAAUAUUAAACCCUAAACUGCUAUCGCUAAACCCAAACCUUAACCACACACCUUCCAAAUACUAAAUUUUAAACUCUAAUCACUAAACCCUAAACCCAAGUAUAACCCCUAGAUCCAAAUAGAAUGGAAUAAAAUAAAUAGUAUAGUACAUAUUGGUGAACAAAAUAUAACACUCUUUAUUAAUCGUCAAAUAACACGAUACAUGUUCACUAAACCCAAAUCCCAACCCCGCCCUUCUAAAUACUAAACCCUAAAUCCUAAUCACUAAACCCUAAACCCAAGUAUAAACCCUAAACCCAAAUAUAAACCAUAAACCCUAAACUCUAAACCCAAAUCUCAAAAUCUAAUAUUGGCCUCAAACUCACCCCUAUUACUCUAAAUACUAAACCCUAAUCACUAAUUACUAAACCAUAAACUCAAAUAUAAACUCUAAAUCCAAAUAUCAAAAUCUAAAAUAAUACAUAAUAUUAUGUAAUAUUAAUUUAUACUAUAUAAAUAUUAUUUAUAGUUGAGAAAUGUAGUAUAAUACACUAAUAUAAGAGUUUAUUUGUCAUCUAUCAAAAUUGGUUUUAAUCAUUACCCUUAAACCAAUAUAGUAUGAAUUUCAUAUUACAAUCAAUUACACAAAAUGACAAAGAAGAAAACUAUCAAAUUUGUAAAUAUGAAGAUGAUUACAUUUUUAAGGGAUUGUUUAGAUAUAUAUUUCAAAUAGUAUAGUAACUUUACAUAAAUAACUACACUAAAGAAUAUAUACUAUACUAUUACUUUCCCGAAUAUAGUAUAGACGAUAAGUUCAUCUUAUUCAAUUCUUCUUUUGUCAAACAUGCUGAUACACCUUCAGUUCGUUCACCGUCAUUAUUCUUCACUACCAUAUAGAGAUCAUCUUCAUCUCUUCUCCUUUUUUUCGACACGGCAACAUUUUUACCGGUCCGCCGUCGUUAUUCUUCACCAUUAGAUCACUAAAACAAAAAAGAAACGAAAACAAAGUAUGAAAACAAAAGCAUGACGUGAGAAUCAAUGAUUUAAGAGAAAGAGGAAAAGAAAUGAAAGAGUUGUUAUGUUUGCUCACGUAUACACAUUCAUCAUUAUUCUUCUCAUGAGAAGAAAUUCAGUCAAGAAGAUGUGUGCAUAAUAAAAGACCACGUUCAUCUUUAUUUUCAUGAAAGCUAUCUAAUUAUUUUGAGAGGUGAGAAAGAAUACAACGUGGCCACAUAUUUUACUUGUUACAUUAAUUAAUUAUUUAUUUAAUUUGUUUUGGUAGUAGGUUUCACCGGUUGAAUAUGAUGGCAAUAUGACAAUAAUGUAUAUUAUGUACAGGGUAUAUAGAUAAAUGAGGGUUUUUAGAUAGUUGGUGAAUUAUAAUUUGUUUGAAGGUUAUAAAGUUCAAUUUCUCUGAGAAUAAAGGAAAAAUAUUUUUAAAAAAGAGAUGAAAGAAAAAAAUCCUAAACAUAAUUUGAGCGAAGAAAGUAUAUCACAGUGGGUCAGGAAUCAGGAGUCAUGACAAUGAUGGAGUGUCUUAUUUUAAUAGUUUUAAAUUAAACAAAUUUGAUAGAAGAUAUUAUUUUUUUAUCAGAUCUUUAUUAUUCAAAAUCAUUAAUUGUCAUAUAUACUUUAGCCACAUUAGGCAAUUCCGUAAUCUUUAUUUAAGGAAAUAAUAAAUGACAUUAAUAAUGAAUUUAUGGUUAGUUUAAUAAAAAACUUAUUAUAUAAUUAGAUGGACCAACAUAUUUCUCUAAUAAUUCUAAGAAUCAUCCUAGUGAUGACACGUGGCUACAAAAAGAAGUUGUAAUGUUUCACAAAUAAUAUAUAGGGGAUUUCCAUGUUUUCUACCCCUUUUCUGAACGGGAAAACAAAGAAAACUAUACAUAUAAACGGUAUAUUUAGCCGCAAGAACAAAAAUGAUGAAUAAGAAGAAGGGCUUAGUUGCCCAAUAACCAAAUUCAUAAUAGAAAUUAGGUGGAUGACACUGAUGUUAACAUAACAAAGAAACUAUCAUUUAUGCUAUAAUUUAUCCGGUUAUACGUUUUUUAAUUACAAGUGACCGGUGAAAGAGAAGAAAGAGAUAACGUCAGAUAUUUUAAGGUGUAGACACCUUAAUAGCUAACGGUUCAGAAUGGGUGUGGACACCUUAAUAGCUAACGGUUCAGAAUGAGAGAUAUGGAAGACAUUCACGUAACUUGUGUUUAUUAUCACAUACAAUUUUAAAUUAGAUUAGUGAUGUGGUUCCAUGAAAUAAAUAAAUGAAUUAAUGGUGUAGAAACUGAAAUGAAUUUAGUGUAUAAUGAAAAAUAAAAGGAUGGUUCCAUUUCAUAUAAGAAAUAAUAUAUGACUCUAACCCAACACACAACUCUUAAAUGUUAAACUCAUACAUAACUUUUGAAUACUAAACCCUAAACUGUUAUUACAAAACCCUAACCUCAAUCCCCACCUUCCAAAUACUAAAUCCUAAAUGCUAAUCACUAAACCCUAAAUCUUAAUCACUAAACCCUAAACCCAAGUAUAGACCUUAAACCCAGAUAGAAUGGAACAAAAAAUAUAAUAUGGUUUACUAAACCCAAACCUCUACUUACCAAAUCUAAACCCUAUGCAUGAACCUAUAAACCCAAAUACAAUCUAUAAAUUAUUUUUCAAUAUUAGACACUUGAACGCACAUUUACUUAGUUAGCAUAUUACAUAUCUUCUAUUCCAUAUAGUCUAAGUAAUAUAGUACACGAAUGUUUAAAAUAAUCAAAAAUUUUCAACGGUGUAUCCAUAGUAUGAAAUGCAAAUAGUAAAUCCUCUUCACCCGCAAAAAUACAACAAUACAAGACACACCACUAAUUAUUAAAGCUAAAUCCUAAUUAAGAAAACAUAAACUCAAAUAGUAUAUAUAUAUAAUAUGGUUUACUAUAUCCAAACAUCUACUUAGUAAAUCUAAACCCUAGGCAGAAACCUAUAAACCCAAAUACAAUCUAUAAAUUUUUUUCUAAUAUUGGACACUUGAAGGCACAUUUUGAAUAUUAAACCCUAAACUGCUAUCGCUAAACCCAAACCUUAACCACACACCUUCCAAAUACUAAAUUUUAAACUCUAAUCACUAAACCCUAAACCCAAGUAUAACCCCUAGAUCCAAAUAGAAUGGAAUAAAAUAAAUAGUAUAGUACAUAUUGGUGAACAAAAUAUAACACUCUUUAUUAAUCGUCAAAUAAAACGAUACAUGUUCACUAAACCCAAAUCCCAACCCCGCCCUUCUAAAUACUAAACCCUAAAUCCUAAUCACUAAACCCUAAACCCUAAACCCAAGUAUAAACACUAAACCCAAAUACAAACCAUAAACCCUAAACUCGAAAUCCAAAUCUCAAAAUCUAAUACUAGCC
RNAcentral lists this long non-coding RNA (4195 nucleotides) under Brassica napus (rape). Its description in RNAcentral is "long non-coding RNA (BNAP_LNC021462)". The record is from RNAcentral. Lineage: Eukaryota; Viridiplantae; Streptophyta; Magnoliopsida; Brassicales; Brassicaceae.